Molecule: ribosomal RNA, 253 nt
Filed under: uncultured bacterium
Lineage: Bacteria
Description: partial 16S ribosomal RNA
Rfam family: Bacterial small subunit ribosomal RNA
Source: RNAcentral
UACGUAGGGGGCAAGCGUUGUCCGGAAUCAUUCGGCGUAAAGCGCGCGUAGGCGGCCCGGUAAGUCCGUUGUGAAAGUCAAAGGCUCAACCUUUGAACGCCGAUGGAUACUGCCGGGCUAGAGUCCGGAAGAGGCGAGUGGAAUUCCUGGUGUAGCGGUGGAAUGCGCAGAUAUCAGGAGGAACACCGGUGGCGAAGGCGGGUCUCUGGGCCGAUACUGACGCUGAGGAGCGAAAGCGUGGGGAGCGAACAGG